AGUUCAGUAGAUCAACGUUUCGACCUAUUCAGGUCUUUAUCAAGAUCAGAACAAAGUGAUAAAGACCUGAAUCGGUCGAAACGUUGAUCUACUGAAC
Pelobates cultripes (western spadefoot toad) is the source of this 97-nucleotide non-coding RNA. The record is from the annotation of a GenBank genome assembly. NCBI's taxonomy places the organism in Eukaryota, Metazoa, Chordata, Amphibia, Anura, Pelobatidae.